GACGGAGGAUGCAAGCGUUAUCCGGAAUGAUUGGGCGUAAAGCGUCCGCAGGUGGCAGUUCAAGUCUGCUGUCAAAGACCGGGGCUUAACUUCGGAAAGGCAGUGGAAACUGAACAGCUAGAGUAUGGUAGGGGCAGAGGGAAUUCCUGGUGUAGCGGUGAAAUGCGCAGAUAUCAGGAGGAACACCAGUGGCGAAGGCGCUCUGCUAGGCCGUAACUGACACUGAGGGACGAAAGCUAGGGGAGCGAAUGGG
RNAcentral lists this ribosomal RNA (253 nucleotides) under uncultured bacterium. Its description in RNAcentral is "partial 16S ribosomal RNA". It matches the Rfam family "Bacterial small subunit ribosomal RNA", at positions 524 to 776 of the family's 1533-position model. The record is from RNAcentral.